RNAcentral lists this non-coding RNA (707 nucleotides) under Schistocephalus solidus. RNAcentral's name for it is "Eukaryotic small subunit ribosomal RNA". It matches the Rfam family "Eukaryotic small subunit ribosomal RNA", at positions 1118 to 1666 of the family's 1831-position model. Lineage: Eukaryota; Metazoa; Platyhelminthes; Cestoda; Diphyllobothriidea; Diphyllobothriidae. The record is from Rfam by way of RNAcentral.
UGGUAGUAUGGUUUAAAGCUAAAACUAAAAGGAAUUGACGGAAGCGCACCACCAGGAGUGGAGCCAUUUGCUUAAUUUGACAAAACACGGGAAAUUGCAACCAGCCCAGAUACUGUCGGGAUUGACAGAUUGCUAGCUCUCUCCUGAUUUGGUGGUUGGUAAUGCAUGGCCGUUUUACUUGGUGUUGCAAUUCGUCUGGUUACUUUCGAUAACGAACGAGAUUCUAGCCUGCUAAUUUGUUUGCCUGUCUUCUGUUCCUGUGCUGGCGGCGUUUUGGCAAAACGGAAUACUUCAGCUGACUUCUUUUGUUCUGCGCAUUUCUCUGCGCGCGCUGCUUCGAGCCCUUCCCAGGGCGAGUGGUGCACGUGCGUGUGAAUCGUGGACUGUGGUAGGAGGUGUGACAGGUGGGUUCAGCGCUAGCCCCCGGGUACGGCGCAUGUGUGUUUUCUUCUAAGAGGGACAAGCGUAACGAAUGUGCUCGAAAUUGAGCAAUAACAGGUCUGUGAUGCCCUGAAAUGUACAGGGCCACACGCGUGCUUCAAUGACGCUGCCAACGAGUUUGACCUUCUGGCCCGAAAGGGUUAGGUAAACUGGUUAAUCAACGUCAUGGCAGGGAUCGGGGCUAUGAAUUGUUCUCCCGUGGACGUGGAAUUCCUAGAAAGUACAUGUCAUAAGUUUGCGCUGAUUACGUCCCUGCCCUUUGUACA